Molecule: long non-coding RNA, 5448 nt
Organism: Suricata suricatta (meerkat)
Lineage: Eukaryota; Metazoa; Chordata; Mammalia; Carnivora; Herpestidae
Source: Ensembl
GGCAUCACACUUGGAGACCAUGUUUGGGGAGCAGACCGUCAAGUAGUAGAGAAGAGAGAAGAGAAGACGGAAUCCCUCAGAAGGCCUGGGAGACAGACCGCCCCGAGAGUCCGGGCCCCUGAAGCUGUCCUGCGCCGUCCGGAAAUUCUCCCGCAGAAAUAGCCCGCCUACAAACUAAGGAUCACACAUUUACCACCGUGACUGCUGAUGCUUCCCAUCUAGGAUGGACGGUGGGCCUCCAAACUUUGUCACACUGUCCUCAAAAGGAGACCUACAUUACAGAUGAUCAUCCCAAGCAAGAUGCUCCAAAGGAGGAAUCUGAGAUCCCGCCUGAGAAGAAAGGACGGGCGUUCCAGGAAAGCAGCACCCAUCAAGUUGCAAAGUCCUCCCUUCAGAAGAUAUCAAGCUAAUGGACUUGGUCUUCCCCUCUUUACGCCAGUUUGCUUAUCAGGCAACCAUCAGUUUUAUCACUGUUCCUUCAUUUGGAGACACAACUACUUGUCCCAAGAUCACUGGACGCCAGACCGUGGAGACCUGCGGGCCGAGAGAGGAGGGCCGGAGGGGACAGAGCGGCGCUGUAAACAAGUCUUUACUUGACAGAAGGAGAUAGCUGGAGAUGCACCUUCACAGAAGCCCCGAUGCUGUCCCCGAUGCUGUCCCCCUGACGUGAGCUGUCCCUGUUUGUGAUCUAGAAAUCUGGUCAUCGCGGCUCAGUGUCCGGCAGUGCAGCCGGCCGGCCCCUCCAGCGCCGCAGAGACGCUUUGAAGCCGCUUCUGUACUGUGUCGGCAGCAUCAGCACGGACGGAUCUGAAGGCUGUAAUGGCUGGGAAAGGUGACACAGCCUCCCGUAAUUGACUGUGGCAAUAUAAAAUAUGGCCUGCUCUGUUUUGUAACAAGGUGGAUAUUGCUUUCUUUCUGGGUUGCAGGGAAACAAAGUAAGCAGAAUUGCCUUUGCUAUUAAGUUUCCAGGUUAAAAGCUGCAAAUCUGGGUUGUAAAGUGUGUCUUCCCUGGCGGUGUGUAGUAAAUUACCAUCCCGCCCUGCUGCAGGGACAACAUGUUUCCAGCUUAAUGUAUCAGGUGCUUUGUAUUUUCUCCAGCUAUUUAGUGUAGGGCAAAUGGGCCCAUAAAACAAGGAACAGCAAGGAGUGACAUAUGUCAUUUUAGUUUUUUUGCCUUCAAAUAAUUGCCAGGUAAAAUAAUGAAGUGCAUUUUUCUUUAAAUUAAGAAAGUCCAAAUAUUUUGGAUCUUCUUGUUAUGAAUGAAGAUUGCAGAUGCGUCAUUAAUAGCUAGAGGUUGAUUUGUACCUACAGCAAAGAUUGUUAUCCACGUACUGAACCCACCCACUCAGAAAGUUCUGGUCCGAGGAAGCAGAUUUUUUUUUUUAGUGGGAAAAAAAGUUCUUUGUUUCAAUUACUAUUGCAUUAUUUGAAAUCAAAGGGCAAGUUAGACUUAAUCUGACUUUUACUUUGUGUGAUUUCGGGUUUAUUUAUUUGCUUGAGUCUGAUAGGCAUUUAGGAAAACGUCUGUGAAAGGACUUGAUUUCGUCCUUUCCACAUUUGUUACCAUCUCUUUAAAAACGGAUGCAAGGGGACAUGCUCACCCACCAGCAAAGCUACACAGCACCUCCUCUGAGGGGCUCUUAGGAAUGCAAACACCAUUCAGACAAUUUCACCGGACAGACCCACUGUGGAGCCCUUCGGAGGGAGGCAACAGGGCAGAACAGAAACUUUCCAGUAUUUCUAUGUUAAGCUAAGAAUCGUAAAAGCAAAUUCAUUCUAAGGAAAGAGAUAAAUACCAUGCUAAUGGCUACUGCCAGAGUUUACAAAAGGAAAGAACAAUAAAGAGGCGACUUCCCUGGUAUUUUAGAGGUAAUAGAAAUAAACCUCUAAAGAGAAGCAUAAAAUAUUUAUUGCAGAGCACACUGUACACUCUAGAAUCACACAGAACCGCUGGCAGUGAUUAAGUGGUCUGUGGCCGCAUAGAGAGAUGCCGAGGCGCUAGCAUACAAGAUAUUGAUUACAUGAUGAUCCCAGCAGUUGGGUUCCUGCAGCUGCUCGCAACACGGGGAGGAAUGAAAAUAACACAUCAGUUUCUGUAGGCUACAUUGCACACAAAAUGGUGCAGGUGAUGAGCUACGUGAAUGAUGUUUCCUUCUCCCAUUCAUAAAUGUGAGAGCCGUAUAAUGAAUUAAUCCGUCUGGAACCAGGAAGCCUACUAUAGCGUACGGUUCUUAAAAUUGCCAACGGGAUACUUGGGUUUUCAGUUCCACUCUAAUACUGGCCCCUCAUUUGGUUUUCACUUAAAAUCUCAAUGUGUCAUGGUACCCAAAAGGAUUUGUUUCUUUCUAAUGGCAGCACUCAGGUGUAGAAAAUUGAGGACCCUUAAAUAAGUCAGAGGGAAAUAGGGGAAAAAUUGCACAUUUUGAAAUGAUUUGAAGUGAUAUAUGAAGUUCCAAUGUCGAUGGGUGGUGCUAUGUAGAUUAUGUUAAAUUUCAGUUACUCCACUGUCAUCAACACCUGUAUUUAUUAUUAUUUUUAGUUGCUUAACAUCAAGCCUUAAUUUGGAGUAUAGUUGCCCUUAAAUAAGAAACAAAUGGUUAAGAAGGAAAAUAGAAAUACAUACUCAGCCAUGGGACGAUGGGAUUAAGAUGAGAACUUGAGAAAGAGGAGAAGGGAGAUGACAGUCUAAAAAUGACGGAACUGCCUUCCUACCCACGGUCCCCCAGCCCCGGUGUCCUGCAGGCUGGGGUGUGCAUCCAAUUCCUCACCCACCAAGGCCUAUCAUGACUUUUUCACAUCCUCACAAGAGUGAACCCACACAAGGAACAGCUACUCCCAUCCUGUGUCUGUGGUUUUUCUCCCUCGUUCAUGGAAAAAGACGUGGAGUCAAGCGCCGGAGGGAGUGUCAACCUAGAAUCAUAAGAUAAAAUGUGUCCCUAACAGGAGGUUCUUCCUAAGACUGUUGUCCCCGUGAGAAGCUUCGUCCUAGUGGAAGACGAGAUGGGAAGAUGCAACGGGGCCCCCACGGGGGUUUGUGGUUGGCGGGCUGUGUCUGGAGUUACACUGACGCGCGUUCGUCUCCGUGCGUGUCUUGACAGAUUCGUGAAUCUCUAUCUGUGUAUCUGUGUUAGCCAGAUCAUUUGUGAGUUACAGUAUAUGAAGCCCAUACAGUAGACUGUGUAUUUGCAAAUAUAUCAUACAACAGAUGACGGGAAGAUAUGCUAAUUUUGAAUUUUACAUUUUAAUGUAAAUGCAUUUUUGCUGUCUGGCUGCUCGGAAUGGUGUAGGCUGUCUCAUGAAGGGCGUUUUAUUUAAUAAUCAUGCCGGUCUGAGAUUAAAAUUAAGGUGUUUCACAUUGAAGUGUGAUACUGAUCACAGGGAAGAAUGUCAGAGAAGGGAUAACACUUAUUUAAAAAUUUACUAAUAAAAGUUGCCGGCAUCUAUAGAACUAGAGACAGAAGUUUGCCGCACACCUGGGUUGCCUCACUCAUCUUCAGUGGCCAUCGGCAUCGGGCCGGUCCUGUUUCAUCCAAAUCCCCAAACACUAUCCUCCAUCAAGGCCUUAUUUCAAGGCAGUUCUUAGAGCACUUAAUACGUACUUCAGUACCUGUCUCUAAAAGUUCUUUUGAGAAAUGGAACUACUGGACUAUUAUCCUUAAAAAAAGUAGUGAUUACUCCUUAACGCCAUAAAAUAGUUUAUCAGUGAUUGGAUUUCCCCUCAUUGCUGUAUACAUUAUUUUUAGACUUUUUUUGUGUUUGAAUCGAGACCAAACAAAUUCACAUUUAGGGAGGCCUCCCCUCCUUUUUUUAAAUAACAAUAACUCUUAAAAAAGAAUAUGCCUUUUAGAGCUUAGAAAUCCACUUCUACAGAUUUAUGUAAUGGUUCUGCCUUAUCUUUAUAGAUUUGGUUAUCUUUCUUGAAAAUGUAAUACUCCUCUUAGGUGUUUUCUUCUGAAGAAUCAUGCAGACCAAGGAACCUUUUGAGGCCCUGGCCUUCUUUCAUGAGUCUUACAAAGGAAAUGAAACUCUCUAAAGUAAACGGUGACCCAGGAGUCCAGUGACAUUUAAUUUGGGCGCUUCCCGUUUAUAUAGUGGCCACAACUACCAUGAAUCUAAAGUGUGCGCUUUCAUCUAUUUUAUCUCGUCAAAAAUUUCAUGACUUUGACCUUUUCUUUUCCCGCAAUCCAUACAUAUAUAGUAGAAUUUUAAAAGUAUUUUUGGCAAUCAAGAUUUUCUUCUGAUCCUUGUGUGAAAAAAGAAACAUUUAUGAUCUUGAAAAAAGCAUAUGUUAACUUCCCUUGAAUUCUUUAGAUCAGCUCAAAGAUGAAUUUGCCAUUUUAAGACUAUAAUAUUGAAAAGAUCUGUCUUCAAAGUGAACCCAUGCAUAAGUACUUUUUUUAUCUUAGGGAAUUUAUAUUUUUUUAAAGGAAAACAGCAACCGAACUUGAAAACCAGUAUGUACCCCAUGGAUCAAGCUUUUCAAAGAACGAUGUCUCAAAAAAUAGAGCUUUUGAUUUCUUAAAAUGAUCUCUGAAGUCCCAUCUUGAAAUACAUAAAUCAACAAAUUGAAUUUUAAUGGAAAAUCAAAGGUGUUUUUUGAAAGGCUCUCAAAUGAAGCUUUGAAAACUAGGAAGACACAGUUAUCAGCUUGUUGUGAUGACGUUGCCUUGACGCCCGCAUUUUAUUCUUAAGUAGGAAAGGACACAGCGUCAAGGACAGAUGAAGAAAACAACUUAUCUACAAACAGAGGCACGCCCCCCUCUGAAAGACUUUCCUGAAAGUCUGCUGAGCACCGGCCACUACAGUCAGACUGACAUGUUGUACGUGCCUGUUCAUGGUUGUCAUUGUGUGUCUAUCUUUCGAUUAUAAAGCGAUAAAAUGGAAGGUGAGGCCAGUGAGUAAAACGUUGGUGUAGAUUUCCUCUGACCCGUUUAAAACUAUUAAACAUAUAAAAACAAAUUGCUGCAAAGCAGUUUCCUGAGGCUUGUUGUGUUGUUAUUCCCACGUGCACGUGGGGGACGUGCUGCUCCGGGGUGGGCUGGGACUCCAGGGUUGCAGGGGUGGUGCUCAGGUCACCAUGGCUCCCUCAUGGCGCCACUUCUCAUGCUCGUCCGCACCGGAAACGGGACAGAUGCAAGAUGAACAUUGUGCGAUUUCAGACUAAGAAGAGCUUUCCUUGGAGGAGGAAGAAUUGAAGAGAUAAGUCAAUAAGCAGGAGCAAAUUGAAAGUAACUGGUAAAGUGCCAGAAAAUUAAAGUGGCACAUCUUUUUAGGGAGUGUGAUAAGGGCCCUGCAUUGAUGACGGCCUCUGUGCACUUUGUUCUUCUGUGUGUCCUCUCCAGGUGGAAAAGAGAGCAUCCCUGCACCCGUUUGCUCAGUUUCCUGCCGUGGGUAAUUACAAAGAAUGCAUCGUUAUUGAGAAAGAAAGUUAGUUUUCAGUGAAGGCUG